UACGUAGGGUGCGAGCGUUGUCCGGAAUUACUGGGCGUAAAGAGCUUGUAGGUGGUUUGUCGCGUUGUUCGUGAAAUCUCACGGCUCAACUGUGAGCGUGCGGGCGAUACGGGCAGACUAGAGUACUGCAGGGGAGACUGGAAUUCCUGGUGUAGCGGUGAAAUGCGCAGAUAUCAGGAGGAACACCGGUGGCGAAGGCGGUUCUCUGGGCAUUACCUGACGCUGAGGAGCGAAAGUGUGGGGAGCGAACAGG
Molecule: ribosomal RNA, 253 nt
Filed under: uncultured bacterium
Lineage: Bacteria
Description: partial 16S ribosomal RNA
Rfam family: Bacterial small subunit ribosomal RNA
Source: RNAcentral